UGCAACUCUGAGUCUUUUUCUUGUUGAAAAUACUUAGGGCUUAUUCCAUCAUUUCAAAUUAAUUGCAACUGAUGGUUUUUAAAUGUUGUUUUCGGAGAUUAAUUGUUAACAACACAAAAGGUUGUUAAUGAUAGAACAACACAAAAGGUUUUCGGAGCGAUUCUACCAGAACCGACUCCCUUUUCGCGCCUCCAAAAUAAAUUAAAUAUGUGAUAUUCACAUGGGGUUGUAGCCUUUUGGGAUAAUGUUAAGG
Molecule: long non-coding RNA, 253 nt
Filed under: Vitis vinifera (wine grape)
Lineage: Eukaryota; Viridiplantae; Streptophyta; Magnoliopsida; Vitales; Vitaceae
Description: long non-coding RNA (VVIN_LNC002877)
Source: RNAcentral